Long non-coding RNA from Canis lupus familiaris (dog), 757 nucleotides. RefSeq lists it as uncharacterized. The transcript is spliced from 2 exons. The record is from RefSeq and is a predicted model, not a curated record. Lineage: Eukaryota; Metazoa; Chordata; Mammalia; Carnivora; Canidae.
AGGCAGCCUGGAAGCCACGGAGACGCCCGCGGCCCGAGGGAGCGAGCCCGGCUCGCGGCCCGGCCAGCGGUCACCCGUCCUCAGGAGGCCGCCUUGGCCAAGGUCACGGAAGUCCCCUGAGGGGGGGCAGCUACGGAAGUGCUUGGUGUACGGGGUCGCCUCCCCCUCGAAGGGCCCAGAAGGUCCGCGGCUCCGCAGGACCGGGCGCCUCAGCCGCCCGCUGGGCCUCGCACCUCGCACCCGCGCCCCUCGGCCCUGACGCUGCGAGACGACUUGCAGGACACACCUUCUAGGCUACUCUCUGGUCCAGAUCCACACUCCAGCGUCCGAGGCUAAGACAUCUGCAUAUGAAUGGGAUUCAUCCUCCUCAGAAAGUCACUUGCUCCUCUGACAACAGUGAUCCCACGUCACGGUCACGCUGCCGUCCUCCACGGGGAGCUGUCAGAUCGGGUGACCACAUCCUUCUCCAGGAUCGCAGCCACGGCCCCGGCCCCUGGACUUCAUAGGCUGCUUUGGAAAAUGUCAGCUCCUAGCACCAAAGGGUUUAAUCUGAAGAUCAUCAUUAAUGAAGGAGAAAGAUGAGGUUUGCAUACAUGUCCCCUUUCAGUGAGAAAUGUUGGAAUCUGGGGACAUGAGUAUAUACAGAAAAAGAAAAGUUGGAGGUGUUCUUUUUGUGUGUUGUUUUGUUUUCUCCCUGAUGGCUUAAUUCAGUGAUAAAUGUACCAUGAUCGGAAUAAACACACCAGGUUCUUAUCCC